AUGCAAUCUACCUUUUACAGGGGAAUAGCCCAGAGAAAUUUGGAUUAAUGCCCCAUAGUAUGUAUGAAUCGCAUGGUUUAUAUAUUAAAGUUCCAACGGUAAAAGAUGAGCAUGCGUCCCAUUAGUUAGUUGGUAAGGUAACGGCUUACCAAGGCUACGAUGGGUAGGGGUCCUGAGAGGGAGAUCCCCCACACUGGUACUGAGACACGGACCAGACUCCUACGGGAGGCAGCAGUGAGGAAUAUUGGUCAAUGGGCGCAAGCCUGAACCAGCCAUGCCGCGUGCAGGAUGACGGUCCUAUGGAUUGUAAACUGCUUUUGCACAGGAAGAAACAACGCUACGUGUAGCGUCUUGACGGUACUGUGAGAAUAAGGAUCGGCUAACUCCGUGCCAGCAGCCGCGGUAAUACGGAGGAUCCAAGCGUUAUCCGGAAUCAUUGGGUUUAAAGGGUCCGUAGGCGGUUUAGUAAGUCAGUGGUGAAAGCCCAUCGCUCAACGGUGGAACGGCCAUUGAUACUGCUAGACUUGAAUUAUAAGGAAGUAACUAGAAUAUGUAGUGUAGCGGUGAAAUGCUUAGAGAUUACAUGGAAUACCAAUUGCGAAGGCAGGUUACUACUUAUGGAUUGACGCUGAUGGACGAAAGCGUGGGUAGCGAACAGGAUUAGAUACCCUGGUAGUCCACGCCGUAAACGAUGGAUACUAGCUGUUGGAAGCAAUUUCAGUGGCUAAGCGAAAGUGAUAAGUAUCCCACCUGGGGAGUACGUUCGCAAGAAUGAAACUCAAAGGAAUUGACGGG
RNAcentral lists this ribosomal RNA (795 nucleotides) under uncultured Bacteroidota bacterium. Its description in RNAcentral is "bacterial SSU rRNA". It matches the Rfam family "Bacterial small subunit ribosomal RNA", at positions 119 to 917 of the family's 1533-position model. The record is from RNAcentral. Lineage: Bacteria; Pseudomonadati; Bacteroidota.